This 253-nucleotide ribosomal RNA is filed under the name uncultured bacterium. RNAcentral's name for it is "partial 16S ribosomal RNA". It matches the Rfam family "Bacterial small subunit ribosomal RNA", at positions 524 to 776 of the family's 1533-position model. The record is from RNAcentral.
UACGUAGGGAGCAAGCGUUGUCCGGAAUCAUUGGGCGUAAAGCGCGCGUAGGUGGCCCGGUAAGUCCGCUCUGAAAGUCACAGGCUCAACCUGUGAAAGCGGGUGGAUACUGCCGGGCUAGAGUCCGGAAGAGGCGAGUGGAAUUCCUGGUGUAGCGGUGGAAUGCGCAGAUAUCAGGAGGAACACCAACGGCGAAGGCAGCUCGCUGGGACGGUACUGACACUGAGGCGCGAAGGCGUGGGAAGCAAACAGG